GUUUUAUUAUCUCAGUUGGUUAGAGCAUGGUGCUAAUAACACAAAGGUUGCAGGUUGGAUCCCUGUAUGGGCCA
This 74-nucleotide transfer RNA is filed under the name Aphelocoma coerulescens (scrub jay). It matches the Rfam family "tRNA". Rfam says of the family: Transfer RNA (tRNA) molecules are approximately 80 nucleotides in length. Their secondary structure includes four short double-helical elements and three loops (D, anti-codon, and T loops). RNAcentral also lists the same sequence under 1 other name. The record is from Rfam by way of RNAcentral. Lineage: Eukaryota; Metazoa; Chordata; Aves; Passeriformes; Corvidae.